AGGACGAACGCUGGCGGCGUGCUUAACACAUGCAAGUCGUGGGGGGGGUAGCAAUACCUCACCGGCGAACGGGUGCGUAACACGUGAGCAACCUACCUCGAUGCGGGGGAUAGCCGGCCCAACGGCCGGGUAAUACCGCAUACGAUCUCUUGGAGGAGUCUCCGGGAGAAGAAACCCUUGGGGGACAGUUGAGAGGGGCUCGCGGCCUAUCAGCUAGUUGGUGAGGUAACGCUCACCAAGGCUAGUGACGGGUAGCGUGGUCUGAGAGGAUGGCCAGCCACGAGUUGGGACUGAGACGACCGGCCCAGACUCCGUAGGGAGCAGCAGGUGGGAAUC
Molecule: ribosomal RNA, 336 nt
Filed under: uncultured soil bacterium
Lineage: Bacteria
Description: bacterial SSU rRNA
Rfam family: Bacterial small subunit ribosomal RNA
Source: RNAcentral